UCGGCGGAUGAGUUGUGGUUAGGGGUGAAAUGCCAAUCGAACUCGGAGCUAGCUGGAUCUCCCCGAAAUGCGUUGAGGCGCAGCGGUUAACGAUGGGCUGCCUAGGGGUAAAGCACUGUUUCGGUGCGGGCUGCGAGAGCGGUACCAAAUCGUAGCAAACUAAGAAUACUAGGCAUUGCUUUCCGUUAACCAGUGAGACGGUGGGGGAUAAGCUCCAUCGUCGAGAGGGAAACAGCCCAGAUCACCAGCUAAGGCCCCAAAAUGACCGCUAAGUGGCAAAGGAGGUGAGAAUGCUGAAACAACCAGGAGGUUUGCUUAGAAGCAGCCACCCUUUAAAGAGUGCGUAAUAGCUCACUGGUGGAGCGUUCUUGCGCCGAAAAUGAACGGGACUAAGCGGUCUGCCGAAGCUGUGGGUAAUGUCAAAAUUUGAUAUUACGGUAGGGGAGCGUUCCGCUCUAGGGUGAAGCUCCAACGUAAGUUGGUGUGGACAAAGCGGAAGUGAGAAUGUCGGCUUGAGUAACGAAAACAUUGGUGAGAAUCCAAUGCCCCGAAAACCUAAGGCUUCCUCCACUAGGCUCGUCCAUGGGGGGUUAGUCGGGACCUAAGGCCAGGCCGAGAGGCGUAGUCGAUGGAAAACAGGUUAAUAUUCCUGUACUAAUUUUUGAGUGGUACCGAGGGACGGAGGAGGGAACAAUUGGUCAAUAUUGGAUGUUGGCGGAAACGUUUGACAAAAACUUCGUUUUUGUUACAAGGUGAUGAGAGAUAGAAUAAAAACUAUUCUUGAGCUGAGGCGUGAUACGGUUUUAUUCCCUGUAUGAGAGCUUUGCUCAAAUUCAAAAAGAAACUCAAUUAGUUGUCAAACUUCCUAGAAAAGCUCGAACUUCCAAUACUUAAAAAUUACCCGUACCCGAAACCGACACAGGUAGGUAGGUAGAGUAUACCAAGGGGCGCGAGAUAACUCUCUCUAAGGAACUCGGCAAAAUGGCCCCGUAACUUCGGGAGAAGGGGUGCCCUCAAUUAAGAGGGCCGCAGUGACCAGGCCCAGGCGACUGUUUACCAAAAACACAGGUCUCCGCUAAGUCGUAAGACAAUAUAUGGGGGCUGACGCCUGCCCAGUGCCGGAAGGUGAAGGAAGUUGGUUACUUAGACUUUAGUCUGGGAAAGCUGACAACCGAAGCCCCGGUGAACGGCGGCCGUAACUAACGGUCCUAAGGUAGCGAAAUUCCUUGUCAGGUAAGUUCUGACCCGCACGAAAGGUGUAACGAUCUGGGCACUGUCUCGGAGAGAGGCUCGGUGAAAUAGACAUGUCCGUGAAGAUGCGGACUACCUACACCUGGACAGAAAGACCCUAUGAAGCUUUACUGUAGCCUGGAAUUGAAUUUGGGCUUUUCUUGCGCAGUCUAGGUGGGAGGCGUUGAUAGUUCCCUUCCGGGGGAGCUGGAGCCAUCAGUGAGAGACCACUCUGGAGAAGCUAGAAUUCUAAUGGCGAUCCUUGAAUCAGGACGCUUGACAGUUUCAGGUGGGCAGUUUGACUGGGGCGGUCGUCUCCUAAAAGGUAACGGAGAUGUGCAAAGGUUCCCUCAGGCUGGACGGAAAUCAGCCGAAGAGUGUAAAGGCAUAAGGGAGCUUGACUGCAAGACCUACAAGUCGAGCAGGGGCGAAAGCCGGCCUUAGUGAUCCGACGGUACCGAGUGGAAGGGCCGUCGCUCAACGGAUAAAAGUUACUCUAGGGAUAACAGGCUGAUCUUCCCCAAGAGUUCACAUCGACGGGAAGGUUUGGCACCUCGACGAUGUCGGCUCAUCGCAACCUGGGGCGGUAGUACGUCCCAAGGGUUGGGCUGUUCGCCCAUGAAAGCGGUACGUGAGCUGGGUUCAGAACGUCGU
This 1884-nucleotide ribosomal RNA is filed under the name Trebouxia angustilobata. RNAcentral's name for it is "bacterial LSU rRNA". It matches the Rfam family "Bacterial large subunit ribosomal RNA", at positions 797 to 2622 of the family's 2925-position model. Lineage: Eukaryota; Viridiplantae; Chlorophyta; Trebouxiophyceae; Trebouxiales; Trebouxiaceae. The record is from RNAcentral.